RNAcentral lists this ribosomal RNA (251 nucleotides) under uncultured bacterium. Its description in RNAcentral is "partial 16S ribosomal RNA". It matches the Rfam family "Bacterial small subunit ribosomal RNA", at positions 526 to 779 of the family's 1533-position model. The record is from RNAcentral.
CAGAGGGUGCGAGCGUUGUCCGGAAUCACUGGGCGUAAAGGGCGCGUAGGUGGCGCGGUGCGCGUGCCGUGAAAGCCCGGGCUCAACCCGGGUCGGCGGUGCGAACGGCCGUGCUGGAGCGUACGAGAGGCAGGCGGAAUUCCGGGUGUAGCGGUGGAAUGCGUAGAGAUCCGGAAGAACACCGGUGGCGAAGGCGGCCUGCUGGCGUACGGCUGACACUGAGGCGCGACAGCGUGGGAGCAAACAGGAUU